ACUAAAGCUAGAACCUCUAGUAUACUGCUAGGCAUAGGCACAGAACAGGACUAGUACCAGUAGCUUUGCAGUCAAUGAUGAAUGCCAUAGGUUAGAUAAAAUUAGACUAUAAAUGAAAAUGUAAGCAUUACCUCAGAGUAAUGUGGCAACCGAGGAACUAAAUCACUAGACCGUUCUGAACCAGUAGUGAAGUAUGUGUUUAAUUCGAUGAUCCACGAAAAACCUUACCACAAUUGUAUAUUUUACAGGAGUUGCACGGCUGUCUUCAGUUGAUGUUGUGAAACUGUGGUUUCCAUGAAUUAACGCAAUCCCUUGCUUUAUUUUUGUUCGUACAAACUAAGGCUUAGUUAAAGCUAUAUUUAGUUACUAUAAAGCAUUUGACCCUAUAAUUUGGGAAGAAAAAAGGGAGUAAGACAAGUCAUCAUGGCCUUAAUACUGUGGGCUAUAAACGUGCCACAUAAGCCUAUACAAANANAUACAAA
Molecule: ribosomal RNA, 482 nt
Filed under: Beauveria bassiana
Lineage: Eukaryota; Fungi; Ascomycota; Sordariomycetes; Hypocreales; Cordycipitaceae
Description: SSU rRNA
Rfam family: Bacterial small subunit ribosomal RNA
Source: RNAcentral